AUAAUGUUGAGUUGGCGCGGUGUUUGGAUUCCUACCAGCGAGGGACAUGUUAGGUGGUGCCGGUGUUCAAUUGGAUGGACGGCUUGCAUGUCGGGCACACGGAGCUUGUAUUUGGUUAGUUGCAUGAGUCCUUUGUUUGGUCACCAUGGCUGGGGUGGUGAGAACACAUGUUGAGGUCGGGGAGGGGAGCGGAGAUUUUGCUAUGUCCUAGAGGCAGUGUGCAUGAUGGAUG
This 232-nucleotide long non-coding RNA is filed under the name Setaria italica (foxtail millet). RNAcentral describes it as "long non-coding RNA (SITA_LNC006618)". The record is from RNAcentral. Lineage: Eukaryota; Viridiplantae; Streptophyta; Magnoliopsida; Poales; Poaceae.